GUCACUGCUUCCCACUGCUGUCCUGAGGCAUCCUGGGAAGAAUUUGCCUGAGCCAGUCCAGAAAUGGCCGUGUGUGGAGACAUCAUGCCGCAGUCAAACCGCAUUUCCCGCCAUCAGGCUUUCAUUAUCUCGAGGAUGGUACCCGUGAAGAGACUGCCUUGAGAGGAGAGGACCAAGUACCUGUGACCACUUCAGAACCAAGCCCAUACAACUUUAAAAAUAUUGAAAAUAUUCUCCACAACUGCACUAACCCAAAAGUGGAAAGGGGAGUAAUGUUCCAGACAGGGCUGAGAAAUUAGAUAUUAAAUAAAGUAGAAUACUAUUCAACUAUAUAGGUGAAAGGUUAAUAAAACAGGUACUUGUCACUCCCUGUUUUUCUGUAUGCUUAACAAAAACUAUUGAAAUCUUGAGAACUGUUUGCUAAUCUUGUUCCCAGAAUGUACUGUCCCCAACUGCCAAAUUGCAGAAUGUAUUCCCUCACCCGGUUGCAGGCAAACCGCCCACUCGCCCUGAGCCGUCAAUGAACUUCCCUCCCUGCCCUCUCCAAGGAAAGUAUAUGAGCUCUGCUUAAGCUGUUCUCGGGGCUCUCUGCUCUAUUCAAGUGAGCUCUGAGCCCCAGCAUGCUGGACCCCCAAUAAACCCUUUGCUGUUGCAUGAGAC
Molecule: long non-coding RNA, 660 nt
Filed under: Ictidomys tridecemlineatus (thirteen-lined ground squirrel)
Lineage: Eukaryota; Metazoa; Chordata; Mammalia; Rodentia; Sciuridae
Description: lncRNA (ENSSTOG00000032683.1)
Source: RNAcentral